Molecule: ribosomal RNA, 879 nt
Filed under: Oslerus osleri
Lineage: Eukaryota; Metazoa; Nematoda; Chromadorea; Rhabditida; Filaroididae
Description: eukaryotic LSU rRNA
Rfam family: Eukaryotic large subunit ribosomal RNA
Source: RNAcentral
GUACUGGGGAGAAGCCCAACGCUGAAUCUUUCGAUAUGAAUAUCGUAAAGAAAUGUAGCGCAUUUGAAUGGUUGUCGGUUUGUUUAGCAUGUCCAAAGUCCCUUUGAUAGGGGCCAAAUUCCAGAGAGGGUGCGAGACCUGUGCGGAUAGUUGAACAUACCGUAUGAUUAUACCACGGAGUCGGGUUGCUUGAAAGUGCAGCCUCAAGUUGGUGAUAAACUUCAUCUAAGGCUAAAUAUGGACGCGAAUUCGAUAGCAAACAAGUACUGUGAAGGAAAGUUGCAAAGAACUUUGAAGAGAGAGUUCAAGAGAACGUGAAAUUGUUGAAGUAGAACCGGAGAGAGUUGACGUAGUCUGAUGGAUAAGUAAUAAAAGUAUCGCAUUCGUAUGUGAUCAUUAUAUUAUGUAAGCCAUCAACGACUGUGCUGACAGCAUCGAUUACACAGUCCGAACUAUGUUGACAUGUUGCCCAUUCUAUUUCAUASAAUGGUGUCUUGUGUCACAUGUUUCGUAAGGUUUGUUGUAUGUUGAUGUUGAUAUUAUAUUCUAUAAUUAUGUCAGCAUAAAAGUCAACCACCUCUCUGACCCGUCUUGAAACACGGACCGAGGAGUGUAACUUGUACGCGAGUCAUAAGGUGAAAAACCUUAAGGCGAAAUGAAAGUAAAGGCACGGUUAACCGGCUGACAUGGGAGACGUUUGAUCGAAUUUCUCGUACGAUACGUUGCACCAUGGCCCUGUCUUGUCUGCGUGCAGAUAGGCAGCGGUAGAGCGUAUAGGUUGCGACCCGAAAGAUGGUGAACUAUGCCUGAGCAGGACGAAGUCAGAGGAGACUCUGAUGGAAGUCCGCAUCGGUUCUGACGUGCAAAUCGAUCGAUAGA